UGGUUACGGUGGUGGUGGAUGCUCUACCAACAUUUAACUUACCUCUGGCUUGGUGAUCAACUGGAUAGUGUCCCGUGAAAGCUAAAGCUCUAGAGUACAGCAGUCACUCGGCUAUGGAGGGGGAAUAAUAAAAGAACAUUCUUCCCUUGAGCCGUGGACUCCAUUGGGAAGAGGUGAGCUCCCAGAAUCCUGGGAGGAUCUUGCUCUGGUGACACUGAUGAGGCUGGUGGCGGGAGAAGGGAGUGGUUUUUACGUAGGGGUGAGGAUGGAAGGCUUAAGUCUGUGAGAGCCACCAAUGGUCGCGGUCGCCCUUCCUCCACAGGGGCAGAGCUGGGCCGGCAGGGAGGGGAGCCUGGGGAAGGUGCGCUCUUAGCAGAGUAGGAAACUUGUCUUUGACCCCUAGGACUUGGCAAGAGCACAUGACCCACAGCCCCUGCCCACCCCGCAGCGGAGGGGCUCCAUUUCAUCCAGGGGUCUGCUAUGAAGGAAUCCUGUGGCACAACACCCCCUCUCCCUUUUGUCUUCUCUGCAAAUCUGACUUUUCAUAGGUUAGGUCUCCUUGCUGGAAACUGGAGCUUUAAAGAAUAGUUUCAAAAUAGUUGAGAAAUGGCCUGUUCAUUUUGAAUGGUAUUCAACUCCAUGAAACUACAGUGUUGGGAGAUAUCUGGACACCCCAUAACAAUGGGUCUUGUAACAAAAAAGAAAGUGUUCCUUAAAUUAAAAAAAAAAAAAUUGGCACAUCAAUUUGAUUUUCAAAACUUGAAAUGAAUUGCCAUCCUGAAUUUGGAAGUUUUCACCCGGCAGGCCUGGAAGAAGGUGACAUAUAUUCAGUCCCAGGGAACGCCAUCAGUGGCAGAGGGGAGCUGGGGUUAGGGUCAUAUGUUAGUUAGAUGUUAAGGCCUGUCAGGGACCCGGCACCUCAGGUCAGCAGCGCCCUCCUGCAGGGGCAGGCAGGGACUUUUGGACCUUUAUGACGCAGAGUUGGUGCCCAGUCCCUUUCUCAGGUGCAGGCCCUUGUCCUCGCUGUUGGGCCCCCUCCCGUUUCCUCAGUGGCAUGAGACCCCCUGGGUGGGUCUGGUGUGGGAACACGCUCUGCCACUGCAGUUCCCCUCGGGGAUGUCACACCACCACUUGCUCUUGGGUUUGCCAUUCGGCAGAGCUCUCACCGUGCUCCGAAACACAGGGACUCUCCAUGUUAGAAGUCCCCUUAGAAAGCUGAAGACCUUUCCGACAUCCUUCUAGUUGCUUGUGCCCGUGGCCGUCUCAAGCUGCCCUGCCCCUGAGUGAAUUUCUCUUUCUGGCCUUCUCCGGUGUUGCCAAGGGAAGACCAGCUACGACAUCACAUGAUUGAUUCUUGGACAAGGUCCCCAGGGUGGAUCUACUCUUGGGCGACCGACUUCUCUGGCCUAGGACUUGAUACUUUAUUGACAUUUAACGUAGCCUCUGACUCCAAGGAAUUGGAUAUUAUUAUCCUCAUGAUUUAUGGGAAAAUAAACUUUAGAAUAUUGGAUGUUUGGAAUAAUAGCCUCCUCUGACAUCACAUGGGUUUUUGCAAUUUCUAUUUAAGGUUAGAUUUUACAUGUGAGGGAUGCUAUUAUCAUUCUCAUCUUAGACAGCAAGGGAUAUGGGCAAGAAGCAUAGCUUUCAUGCUGUUAAAUCGUGCAGUGAUUAAAACAAUCAACCAGCACUUACUUUGGAUUAUUUAUAUCUUUCCAUGCACAGGACCAGGCAGGAGGGCAGCGGAUUCACCUGCUUUCCUCGGGCCCAGGGGAGCUGCAGGCAGAGUGCCGUCUUCAUCAUGACUGGUCCCUUUAUACGCGAUGCCUACUGACAGGUGCCUCACAGGACCACAGGAGGCGGGGCAGGCGGAAUACCUCUCUCCUUGGGCCUCCUGCUCCAAGUGUGCCUAGACUCUAAAACGGCUUGUGCUAUUGUUUGAAUGUGUGCCCCCAAAUUCAUGUGCUAAAAACUUUCACCCCAGUGCAGCAGUGCAGAGAAGUGGCACCUCUAAGAGGUGGUUAGAUCCCGAGGACUCCGUCUUCAGGAGGGUGUUAAUGCCAUCAUGGGAGGUGGGGGGCCAUUACUGCAGGAAUGCUCCUGAGGAAAGGGGGACUUCCGCCCCUUCUCCCUCUCAUAUCUGUGCUCUUCGGCUCUAGUGUGAUGCAGCAAGAAAGCCCUCACCUGGGACUUCCCAGCGUCCAGGCCAUGAGCCAGCUAAACUUCCAUUGCUCAGAAAUGACUCAGUUUGUGGCUUUCUGUUAUAGCAGCAUGCAGCACACUGAGACUGCUUUCUUGGCAGAAAAAAGCAGAAUACCCAGAUUCUAUCCUAAGAUGCCGAGCCAUUCUGCGGCUCCUUAUGCACCACAAAUGGUAGGAUCAAAACACCAGACCUAAAAUUUCCCAGUGAAGUUGAUGGGGCUCAACCCCCGUUGGCCGGGUGCCUUGGGUGGUUAGCCAUCUCCUACUCCUCCUUCAGUCACUCCACCUUCAGCUCAUUCUGUCACCUUGCUGUCAGAGACUUGACGUCUCUGGUGCUCUACUUCUGCUUUCUUCACCCAGGCCCAGCUAUUUACCUUCCCAGAUACCGACUUCCUCCUGAAAAAGGUGACAACGGCUUCUGGUCCUUUUUGCUCUCAUGCUGCACACAGAUUGUCCUCUGCAAACUUGAUCCAGGCUGCUUCCCUGGACACUGUUUGGAAAGAAGGGCCCCUGACCAGAGGGAGCUCUAGAAACAAACACAACUUUCUUGUGGAGCUGCGGCCAGCCUGCCUUUCUGCCCACCUCCAUCCUGGGAUCCAGGGGUCCAUGCCAGACAGUCCUGCCUCAGCCGCCCUCACGAUUCCAAGGGGGAAAACAAAUCUACAGAAGGGAGAGAGUAUUUCAGUGAGAGGAUGUGGCCUGGGGAGAGAAAUAGGAAUGAGAACUGGUUUGAUCAGAACUCAUGCUUCAAGUUGGAGUUUUCAAGUGUUUCAAGGAGGAGGAUCAGUGGGGUAAAAAUAUUAAAGACUAGUGUUAAGGAAUUUGGAAUCCAUUAGUUAAAAACCAUUUGAGAUAGUUUCAUAACAUUAUUGAUAUUAGCAUUUUUAUUUACUGAGAAAAAAUGUGUAAGAUAUUUCACUAUGAUUGAUGAGUGUUUAUGUUCCUUGAAGUUUUCUUUAAUUGUUGUUUUACUUAUUUUGAGACUGUGUUAUUCAUUGCAUACCAGUUGAGAAUUGCUAUACUUCCUUAUGAAUUAACCUUUAUCAUCAUAAAGUGGCUACCUUAUCUGAAAUAAUGAAUUUUGUCUGCAAUUCUAGUUCAUAUGAUACUAAUAUUAUACCACCAAUUUUCUUUUGGCUAGUAUUUGACCCAGAGUAAAAUAUUCUUUGUUGCUGGACCAUCUUGGAAAUGUUCCUUUCGCGCUUUUAACCUAUAUUAACUAUGUAAUUCUGUUUCUUCUCCCCACUGCCAUUUAAUAGUACCCCCAAACCUGGGCUUGAACCUACAGGUAUAUGUAUACAGGGAUGCACAUACUAACUUGUAUGUGCUGCUUGUUACUAUCUCCCAAAGAGAGUUUAUUGUAUGAAUCUUAAGCUCAUUUGAGACUCAUUUCACAACUUACCUCCAGUCUCACAUUUAUCACCACCUCUCAUCCUUUUUCCCUAAAAAACGAACUCCUUCCCUAUAUCUCCUACUCCCUUCUUUUUUCUUGAGUGUGGAGCCUAGGAGUCAUCCCUCUCUUGUUUGUUUAGCUUUCACCAGCCUGGGUCCAGUGGCCUUGGCUGGAGAGGCCAACAGAACCUCAGCACAGGCUCCCAGGAGAGGCUAAAGGCUGGCAUGCAGGGGAAAGAAAAGCUAAUAUGUAGAACAUCUGCCAAAUUCUUCCUCUUCCUCUGAAAUUCUGAUCCUUUGAAGCCCUUGAUUGUCCUGGAAAGUUUUGCAAUCCAAGGUCCCCAAAUUCUCAAGUGAGGUCUUUAGUAAAAGUGAAAUUCAGUGAAAUCCCUGGCAACAUCUCCCUGGAUGGGAAAAGGAAUCAGGAAUCAGAUUCCUGAUCUGGGAAUCUGUGUAUCACAAUAUGGUAAGGUGUGUGCUCAGGGCUUGAGCAGGGAAGGGCCUGUCCAGCUGAGAAUGACCUCCUCCUCCCUACCAGAAUCUUGUUCCCAACUCUACCUGAAGCCCAGGAUGGAGAGAGAGAGAGAAAAAAAAAUCCUUCUUAGAAGAUUUUCCAUUAUUUUUCUCCAUGUGAUCAGCACGGAUGAAAGAAUUCUGUGAUUGAGUUGAGGGUCACAUCUAACUAUUGGACCAUGGCAACAGAUACUGAGCAUCACAAUUGGUUGUCACAUAGGACUUUCGUGGGGUUUGGAGUUUUAAAUGCCAUUGUUGUUCUCUAUAUGGUAACCCCCUCAGCGCUCUCACUUACGCUCUCUCUCUCUCUCUCUCUCUCUCUCUGUCUCUCUCUCUUCCUCUCCCCCCCACCCGCCCUCUCAGGUGAAUUCAGGUGCCCUGGUGUCUGUAAAAGUCUUGUCUUUAGAAAUCCUUGCCCAGCUUUCUUUCACUCAGAGAAUUGGUUUUCUCUCAAGAAAAUGCUCUUUCCUUUUACUGCACAGUGAACUGGGAGCCCUAAAAGGAGUGGACGGAGACAAAAGUGAGGCCAGUGGAAUUUGCCAUAUUGGACCCCAGGAGAUGAGAGAAUUAUCAUUCAGUUCUCUGAAACCUGAAGUUUUAGGGGUCUAUUGAGAGGAUAAAAAAAUGUUCCUUGGUUUUUGUGACCUACUUAAACAUUCUUUGCAAGCUGUAAUCAUUUGAGGUUUUCUAAGACAAGAGGAGAAAAUAGUCUAAAUAUAACCCUGAAAGGCAGGUAACCUGACAACAAAGCAACCCAUCUGCAGAGAUGAUUUCUCUGGAAACUGGCAAAACAGGCGAUUUCCCUGGUCAUUCCUGGCGUGCCUGCUACCACACCUCAUCCCUGCUCUGGAUUCCUGGUGGCACUACUGGCCUUUUUUCCAAAUGUCGUGCCAGGGCCACCCACAUCCCAUUCCUCCCACCUGGAACACCCAGCUCACUCCUCCCCCAAGCCUUUCCCACCUACCUUCAAAAUGCAGUUUGAGACCCUUCACAGAGAUUGACUCAAAGCCAGCUCUUCCAUUAAGCCUGUGGUUCUGUCUCCAGCCCCUCGAGACUCUGGGAACCUUCGUCCAGUGUGCUGUAAGGUAGGGACAGCAGGGAAUGCAGGGCCAGCCGUUUGGUCCAGUGGUGGAGGUGGACCUGUGCUGUCUGCCCGCACUCUGCCGUGGAGUCUGCCCUGUGAGGAGCACCAGUUCUGUGCCAGCGGGGCUGCAGGUGCAGGCCAACCAAGAACGGCAUGGAGCUCGCUCAGCUCAGCUGACCAGCUGCACCCUCGCAGCCACAGGUCACCCCUCCUUGCUCUUUAUGCAUAUUGGCAUUCCAUCUUUUCUCCCGGGUGGCAGGUGUUUCCAGAGACGGUGCCUGAGUAUAUUAAGGGAUGUGGCAGAGUAGAAAGGUGGUAAGAGCAGUCAGCACAUGUGAGAAUGUGGUGAUCUUGCAGGCCUUCCACCAUAAGGAUGCACUUGAUCCUUGGAACCACACCAUAAAUGCCACAAAGGAGGCAUUACUCUCAUUUUAAGGAUUAGAAAAUUAAAACACAGAGGACACGCAGUCAGUAAAGGCCAAAGCCCAGGCUCUUGACCCUAAGCCCUCGACCCAUCUAGGUUUUGGAGUCACACAACACACACAGGGCUGAACUCACACUGACUGGACUCAGGAAGAGGCACGGUCAUCUGGUAUUCUUAUUCAAUCUCUUUCAAUCUGAUUUGAAAAAGUGACAGAGAGAAAGUUAUGCAGCUUAGAUAUUUAGCUCUAGAUGAGCCUGGACAUCACAGUCAAGGCGGUCACCAAGGGUGGGCAGGGACCAGCACUUAGCAGGUGCAGUGAGUGCACUCAUCAUGUUGGGGAGCCGAACAGGACUCCCACGAAGUCGUUUCUGUCCCUCUCAGGUUCUCUACGCCAGGGUGACACUGUGGUUUUAAUAGUUUUAGGUGUUAAAGUCAUUAGAAGGUAAGUAGGAACCAUCACUGAAACUUUUCUUAUUUUAUAUGAAAGGGAAAGUUUAAAACCUUGCAUUUAACAACUAACUGGAAUAAAAGUUCUAACUUUUAUUUAGAACUGCCAUAUCAUCGAACAUAAUGUUUUCUUUUUCACUGUCUGAAUCUGAAACUUUCAGGAUUAUUUUGUUAAGAUCUGAAAAGGUAAUUUGACAUACUGAUCUAUAAAGUGUGAAUUACCCCAGGGGUUAGGAGGUAAGUUUCUGUAGUAAUUAGUGUGCCAGAAAUAAUUUCCUCCCUCUCCCCCGCCCCUUCCCCCCACGUACUCGCUUUACUCCGGGUCUCUCAAGUCAUUCUUCCAGGACUGCCUAAUGUAAUGAAUUCCUCCCCCUCCACCCUAGGGAGGACCAUUAUUGCCAUUCUCUUGUGGAGCUGUGUGCUUUCUUGUUGACCUCGUGGUAUAUCACAGAACUGUAAAAUUCUAGCUGUCAGUAAUGUGCUGGGAAAGGCAAUUUUAAUGGGGUGAUUUUUUUCUGCAAGCGAGGGUUAGGCAGGACCCUCUCUCUAUCUUUCCCGCUUUCUUGGUUCUGUACUCAGGAUCUUGGUGAGAUUUGAGGCUAUCUGGCAAAGUCCACGUUCUCCCACUUACCAGCCCGCUGGUCCUGAGAAGCUAUUGAUAGUCACUGAGCCAUGUGUAAAACUGGGAUGAAAACAUUUGCCUCCCUCCCCCACCAGGGCUGUAGAGUAUCCUGGUUAUUCACAGAAAGUGGAAAUGCUUUGUAUGCUCCUAAGUUUUAUUUUGAUAAAUGAGGACAACUGCCAAGUUGUGCAUGCCCAGGAGCCAGGUGCUCUAGAUCCGCUAUUGAAAUAUCCGCACCAAGUCC
This 6925-nucleotide long non-coding RNA is filed under the name Marmota monax (woodchuck). Lineage: Eukaryota; Metazoa; Chordata; Mammalia; Rodentia; Sciuridae. The record is from RNAcentral.